UACAUGCGUAUAUUCUGGCAG
Molecule: microRNA, 21 nt
Filed under: Gallus gallus (chicken)
Lineage: Eukaryota; Metazoa; Chordata; Aves; Galliformes; Phasianidae
Description: gga-miR-1613
Source: miRBase by way of RNAcentral